GAUGUAAGUUGAGAAAUCUCUGUAAUCAACACAUUUUCUCUUUCAUUCAUUAUUUUCAAGGGAAAAGCUGCAUGUAUUGUAUCACUAACCCUCAAAGAAGAUGAACAGAAAGGCAAUUACUAACAGAGAUGAAGAAGAGCAUUUUCUGAGACGACCACUGAAAGAAGCAGCUCCUGACUCCAGGACUGCAGAAGCAAAAGAAAGAGUUUGGUUUAGGAGCCAACUCAUCAUAGACGGAAAGACCUGAAACUGUGAGUGAAAUUAAACCAUUUCUCUUUAUAAGCUGAUUGUCUUGGGUAUU
RNAcentral lists this long non-coding RNA (301 nucleotides) under Fukomys damarensis (Damara mole-rat). RNAcentral's name for it is "lncRNA (ENSFDAG00000021765.1)". The record is from RNAcentral. Lineage: Eukaryota; Metazoa; Chordata; Mammalia; Rodentia; Bathyergidae.